UUAUUACACCUACUGAGUACACUGGCUAGACAGUGCUCUCGACCAAGUACUCGGCAUGUUUAUUAUGGAUGUGCUCGGCUCAGGGCACUGUCUCGCCGCUCUACUCGGUAGGUAAUCCCGCGCAUGAUCAUACUGUA
Long non-coding RNA from Aricia agestis (brown argus), 137 nucleotides. RefSeq lists it as uncharacterized. The transcript is spliced from 3 exons. The record is from RefSeq and is a predicted model, not a curated record. NCBI's taxonomy places the organism in Eukaryota, Metazoa, Arthropoda, Insecta, Lepidoptera, Lycaenidae.